GUCUUUUUGUGUACCAUAAAAAGUCGUGCCUUCCCAGUGGGUUUUAACCUAAACGGAUGCGGUAAAUCGUGCUAAGGUAGCUAAAUUAUGGCCCAUUAAUUGUGGGUCUUGCGAACGGCUUGACGAGUUCCCUACUGUCUCAAAGUUGUUUUGGUGAACUUGAAUUGGAUGUGUAAAUGCUUCCAUGAGUGAGAAAGACGAGAAGACCCCGUGAAGUUAGAAAUUUUUUAUCUAGUAUGAAUUUUCAGUUUUAUUUGGGUUUGUAGAUGUAAGUUGAGAUCUUGAGAGUUGAAAAAUAUGGUUCUAUUGUUUUGGCUGGGGCAGCAAGAAGGCAAAACUAGACCUUCUUUAUUAAAAAACGGGUGCGUUACGACCCAUAGUUUUGAAAGGAAUGAUUAUCAGAAGAAGUUACUCCGGGGAUAACAGCGUUAUCCGUCCUGAUAGUCCUUAUAGAUGGGCGGGUUUGCGACCUCGAUGUUGGCUCUGGUUAUCCUGAGGCUUGCAGGAGGUCUCGAGGGUUGGUUUGUUCGCCCAUUAAAAUCCG
This 544-nucleotide ribosomal RNA is filed under the name Mimachlamys nobilis (noble scallop). RNAcentral's name for it is "partial 16S ribosomal RNA". It matches the Rfam family "Bacterial large subunit ribosomal RNA", at positions 1819 to 2597 of the family's 2925-position model. Lineage: Eukaryota; Metazoa; Mollusca; Bivalvia; Pectinida; Pectinidae. The record is from RNAcentral.